ACGAACGCUGGCGGCGCGCUUUACGCAUGCAAGUCGAACGGACCUUCGGGUCAGUGGCGGACGGCUGAGUAACGCGUAGGUAACCUGUCCGGUGGUGGGGGACAACUUGCCGAAAGGUGAGCUAAUACCGCAUGAGUUCGGUUGGUGAAAUUCCGGCCGAGGAAAGCAGUAAUGCGCCACUGGAGGGGCCUGCGUCCUAUCAGGUAGUUGGUGGGGUAAUGGCCUACCAAGCCUGUGACGGGUAGCUGGUCUGAGAGGACGACCAGCCAGAAGGGGACUGAGACACGGCCCCUACUCCUACGGGAGGCAGCAGCGAGGAAUCUUGGGCAAUGGGCGAAAGCCUGACCCAGCGACGCCGCGUGAGGGAAGAAGGCCUUCGGGUCGUAAACCUCUUUUGUCGGGGAAGAAGUUCUGACGGUACCCGGCGAAUAAGCCACGGCUAACUACGU
RNAcentral lists this ribosomal RNA (449 nucleotides) under uncultured bacterium. Its description in RNAcentral is "bacterial SSU rRNA". It matches the Rfam family "Bacterial small subunit ribosomal RNA", at positions 29 to 506 of the family's 1533-position model. The record is from RNAcentral.